GAUGAACGCUGGCGGCGUGCCUAAUACAUGCAAGUCGAGCGAACGGACGAGAAGCUUGCUUCUCUGAUGUUAGCGGCGGACGGGUGAGUAACACGUGGAUAACCUACCUAUAAGACUGGGAUAACUUCGGGAAACCGGAGCUAAUACCGGAUAAUAUUUUGAACCGCAUGGUUCAAAAGUGAAAGACGGUCUUGCUGUCACUUAUAGAUGGAUCCGCGCUGCAUUAGCUAGUUGGUAAGGUAACGGCUUACCAAGGCAACGAUGCAUAGCCGACCUGAGAGGGUGAUCGGCCACACUGGAACUGAGACACGGGCCAGACUCCUACGGGAGGCAGCAGUGGGGAAUCUUCCGCAAUGGGCGAAAGCCUAACGGAGCAACGCCGCGUGAGUGAUGAAGGUCUUCGGAUCGUAAAACUCUGUUAUUAGGGAAGAACAUAUGUGUAAGUAACUGUGCAAAUCUUGACGGUACCUAAUCAGAAAGCCACGGCUAACUACGG
Molecule: ribosomal RNA, 496 nt
Filed under: uncultured bacterium
Lineage: Bacteria
Description: partial 16S ribosomal RNA
Rfam family: Bacterial small subunit ribosomal RNA
Source: RNAcentral